This is an RNA transcript of Glycine soja, 1854 nucleotides long. It is a transcript of the gene named F-box protein At5g49610-like, with no coding region annotated. Lineage: Eukaryota; Viridiplantae; Streptophyta; Magnoliopsida; Fabales; Fabaceae. The record is from RefSeq and is a predicted model, not a curated record. The transcript is spliced from 2 exons.
GAAAAAUAAAACUCUCUGGGUCAGAGCACUCUGCAUUUUAUCAUAUCAUAUUGCCCCGGAGUUUACUCAUUUCUGUCUACUUCUCAUUCAUCGUAUAUGUUCAUGUUCCUUCGAUUCCCUUCUCUAUUUUCCUUUGUUCCAUUGUCCGAAUUCACGUUCCUUUUCGUCCGAAUCCUUAAGCUCUAAACUGGAUCCACCUCACCCACAUACCUAGUCUUCCCUUUUUUGUGGCAAACGCUAUGCUAUAUUACUUCAAUAUAAAAUAUAUUCAUUCUUGCGUGUGCGUGUGUGUGGCAAUAAUGAUGACUCAAAUUCGAUAAUUCCCCCCCAAAAAAAAAAAUUCAAAUGUGAACGGAAAAUGAAAACCCAUUUUCCCCGUUUCCAUUCUUCAACCAUCACAAACCCACCAUCGCCCCAAAGUUGAAUCCUUUCUGUCCCCACAACAUCAAGUGCAGCUUCAUCGGAUGCCCCGAAUUUUGUCCCGUUAUGGAUGUGCGAGGAGAUGGGAUUUUCCCGGAUGAGGUGGUUAUUCAGAUUCUUGCAAGGUUGCCUGUGAAGUCCCUUUUCAGGUUCAAAACCGUGUGCAAACUGUGGUAUAGGUUGUCUUUGGAUAAGUAUUUUAUUCAACUCUACAGGUGUCUAGGAAGAACCCCAUGAUUCUGGUGGAGAUUUCGGAUUCGUCCGAGUCCAAAACUAGCUUAAUCUGUGUUGAUAAUUUGAGGGGGGUAUCUGAAUUUUCACUGAAUUUCUUGAAUGAUAGAGUUAAGGUUCGAGCAUCCUGUAAUGGCUUGCUGUGUUGCUCUAGUAUUCCAGAUAAGGGUGUCUUCUAUGUCUGCAAUCCGGUCACUCGUGAGUACAGGUUGCUUCCAAAGAGUAGGGAAAGGCAUGUGACUCGAUUUUAUCCGGAUGGUGAGGCUACCUUGGUUGGCUUGGCCUGUGAUUCAGCGCAUCAGAAGUUCAAUGUUGUUCUAGCAGGCUACCAUCGCAUGUUUGGACAUAGGCCGGAUGGAAGUUUCAUAUGUUUGGUGUUUGAUUCGGAGUUGAACAAGUGGAGGAAGUUUGUUUCGUUCCAAGAUGACCAUUUUACUCACAUGAAUAAGAACCAGGUUGUUUUUGUCAAUAUUGCUCUGCACUGGUUGACUGCUAGCUCUACAUAUAUACUUGUGCUUGAUUUAAGUUGUGACGUUUGGAGGAAGAUGCAAUUACCGUAUAACUUGAUUUAUGGAACGGGUAAUAGGAUUUAUCUCUUAGACUUAGAUGGCUGCCUGUCUGUUAUUAAAAUUUCAGAAGCAUGGAUGAAUAUAUGGGUGCUAAAAGAUUACUGGAAAGAUGAAUGGUGUAUGGUGGAUAAGGUGAGUCUGAGGUGUAUCAGAGGAAUGGUUCCAGGCAUUUUUCCAAUCAGUCAGACUGGUGAAUGUGUUUUUUUGGCAACUCAUAAGCAGAUUUUGGUGUAUCAUCGCAAGACUCAAAUUUGGAAAGAAAUGUACUCUGUGAAGUAUAGGUCAACACUCCCAUUAUGGUUUUCUGCUCAUGCAUAUCGCAGCACAAUGUUCUCAUGUAACUGAGUCAUGGUGACUGCAUCAAAUGACUUAUGUGCAUAUAUUUCUAGUUGCAAGUGUUUUAUAUUUAGUUAAGCCAUUGUUAUUUGCUCAAGAUAUCAUUUGUUUCUGAUAGUCAUGUUAAAACUGUGAUAUUGGCUUUGCCAUUAUAUUGCUUCACCAUUGUCUCUUGUAACUGGGGUGUGGCUUCAAUAAAUGGCCUUUGUACAUACAUUUCUAGUUGCAACUUGCAAGUGUUUGAUACUCAUUUGCUCAUUGUUAUUUGCUGAAGAUAUUGCAUUUUUCUGAUACAGUA